GAUGAACGCUGGCGGCGUGCCUAAUACAUGCAAGUCGAGCGAACGGACGAGAAGAUUGCUUCUCUGAUGUUAGCGGCGGACGGGUGAGUAACACGUGGAUAACCUACCUAUAAGACUGGGAUAACUUCGGGAAACCGGAGCUAAUACCGGAUAAUAUUUUGAACCGCGUGGUUCAAAAGUGAAAGACGGUCUUGCUGUCACUUAUAGAUGGAUCCGCGCUGCAUUAGCUAGUUGGUAAGGUAACGGCUUACCAAGGCAACGAUGCAUAGCCGACCUGAGAGGGUGAUCGGCCACACUGGAACUGAGACACGGUCCAGACUCCUACGGGAGGCAGCAGUAGGGAAUCUUCCGCAAUGGGCGAAAGCCUGACGGAGCAACGCCGCGUGAGUGAUGAAGGUCUUCGGAUCGUAAAACUCUGUUAUUAGGGAAGAACAUAUGUGUAAGUAACUGUGCACAUCUUGACGGUACCUAAUCAGAAAGCCACGGCUAACUACGUG
Molecule: ribosomal RNA, 497 nt
Filed under: uncultured bacterium
Lineage: Bacteria
Description: partial 16S ribosomal RNA
Rfam family: Bacterial small subunit ribosomal RNA
Source: RNAcentral